Molecule: long non-coding RNA, 486 nt
Filed under: Rattus norvegicus (Norway rat)
Lineage: Eukaryota; Metazoa; Chordata; Mammalia; Rodentia; Muridae
Description: long non-coding RNA NONRATT033817
Source: RNAcentral
AUUACCAGUGAGAUGUGAAUGAAUGUCUAUUCAUCCCAUGCAGGGAAAAGGAACUAAGGCCGAGGGGAGGAUCUACCAACCUUCAGCUUGGUGAGAGUCACAUGCAGGGCAUCAUCGGUGAGGCAUUGCGAACAGUCGCUAAUGUUUUCAUCUAUAAAGAGUUCAGAAUAUGCAUACCUCCUUUUCCUGUGAAAUUCUGAGUGAAUAAUACAGUACAAGUUUCCAUGCUGCUGGGAGUCUCUGAUACAUAGCCGGAGGACUAAUGUCUUAGUGAAAGCUAGCUUGUCACUUUCAAAAGGAAACCUCUUCAAGUCAAAUUCUCAGUGUGACUGGACUACAGAAUACAUUUUAAAUAAACAUUGGGAAAUGAAAACAAAUUGUUACUUUUUCAAUCAUUUAUCUGUCUCCCCCAAUUUUUCUACCAGGUGAAUCCUCACAGAUACAAGUUACUCAUACACAGAUACAUAUUUAUUUAUAAAUAUCUAG